CGUGAAUUUGAAACGCAUGCGCUUAAGAAGCAAUCCAUACUAGCCUCUGACAAUAACAGAGCGCCAUCUUAGUAGAUAAUACAAGUUAAUUGCCAUAGAACUCUACGCCAUAACAUCAACAACAUAUCAAGAAGAAGAUAUCGAACUAGGGGGUUGUAACAAGGUUAAUCAGAGAUGUGUUAGCCCGAGACGUGACACCGGGUUCGGUCAACCCGUAAAUCAAUCCCUUUGAUUCCAAGUUCUCUCUCUUUUUCUCUCGAGAAGGGAUUUUCCAGAGACACCUUUCCCACCUUUAUCCGAUUUAAGGGGGAAAAGGUAUUCAGGGAUGAAAGGUAAUCAGGAUUCAGACUCCCCCUCAAAGAUCACUGUAGGAUUUCAUUUAAACUCGGAGACCAUUAAGGAGAAGAGAGAAACGAUAAACAUGGGAUUUUAAGCGGGACGAGUUUUCUCCUUUUAAUGAAAUUCACAUCUUAAUUUCGAUAAUCUCACAAGAAAUCGAAGAAGAACUCAAAGAAGAACUCGAAGCAGAACGUGAAAAGGAACACGUAGAAUAAGUCGAAGAUAUAACGAUGAAGAGAAAAUGAAGAUAAAGAAAGUAUUUUCGACCUAUACGGGCGGAUAUGGUACGGAAUUUGAAUAAAUUAGAGUUGAAAAUGACGCUGUUCCAUCUACCAGAUGGAAUUUUAUUUAAUUUUGUUAUCGAAAAUAAGAAAAAAUUAAUUAUGU
Molecule: non-coding RNA, 726 nt
Organism: Onthophagus taurus
Lineage: Eukaryota; Metazoa; Arthropoda; Insecta; Coleoptera; Scarabaeidae
Source: RefSeq, a predicted model, not a curated record